CCUACGGGUGGCAGCAGUGAGGACUAUUGGUCAAUGGCCGGGAGGCUGAACCAGCCAAGUCGCGUCAGGGAAGACGGCCCUACGGGUUGUAAACCUCUUUUGUCAGGGAGCAAGGUGCAGGUCGGGACCUGCUGUGAGAGUACAUGCAGAAAAAGCAUCGUCGAACUCCGUGCCAGCAGCCGCGGUAAUACGGAGGAUGCGAGCGUUAUCCGGAUUUAUUGGGUUUAAAGGGUUCGCAGGCGGAGGCACAAGUCAGCGGUAAAAUCGCGGGGCUCAACCCCGCUCAGCCGUUGAAACUGUUUGCCUUGAGUGCGCGAAGGGUAGGCGGAAUGCGUGGUGUAGCGGUGAAAUGCAUAGAUAGCACGCAGAACUCCGAUCGCGAAGGCAGCCUACCGGCGCGCAACUGACGCUCAUGCACGAAAGCGUGGGUAUCGAACAGGAUUAGAUACCCUUGUAGUC
Molecule: ribosomal RNA, 459 nt
Filed under: uncultured bacterium
Lineage: Bacteria
Description: partial 16S ribosomal RNA
Rfam family: Bacterial small subunit ribosomal RNA
Source: RNAcentral